GGACGGGUGAGUAACGCGUGAGAAUCUGCCCUCAGGAGGGGGAUAACGGUUGGAAACGACCGCUAAUACCCCAUAUGCCGCGAGGUGAAAUGAAUUUCGCCUGAGGAUGAGCUCGCGUCUGAUUAGCUAGUUGGUGGGGUAAGAGCCUACCAAGGCUUCGAUCAGUAGCUGGUCUGAGAGGAUGAUCAGCCACACUGGGACUGAGACACGGCCCAGACUCCUACGGGAGGCAGCAGUGGGGAAUUUUCCGCAAUGGGCGAAAGCCUGACGGAGCAACGCCGCGUGAGGGAUGAAGGCCUCUGGGCUGUAAACCUCUUUUAUCAAGGAAGAAGAUCUGACGGUACUUGAUGAAUAAGCCACGGCUAAUUCCGUGCCAGCAGCCGCGGUAAUACGGGAGUGGCAAGCGUUAUCCGGAAUUAUUGGGCGUAAAGCGUCCGCAGGCGGUCUUACAAGUCUGUCGUUAAAGCGUGGAGCUUAACUCCAUUUCGGCGAUGGAAACUGUAAGACUAGAGUGUGGUAGGGGCAGAGGGAAUUCCCGGUGUAGCGGUGAAAUGCGUAGAUAUCGGGAAGAACACCAGUGGCGAAGGCGCUCUGCUGGGCCAUAACUGACGCUCAUGGACGAAAGCUAGGGGAGCGAAAGGGAUUAGAUACCCCUGUAGUCCUAGCCGUAGACGAUGAACACUAGGUGUCGGGGGAAUCGACCCCCUCGGUGUCGUAGCCAACGCGUUAAGUGUUCCGCCUGGGGAGUACGCACGCAAGUGUGAAACUCAAAGGAAUUGACGGGGGCCCGCACAAGCGGUGGAGUAUGUGGUUUAAUUCGAUGCAACGCGAAGAACCUUACCAGGGUUUGACAUCCUGCGAAUCCCUUGGAAACUUGGGAGUGCCUUCGGGAGCGCAGUGACAGGUGGUGCAUGGCUGUCGUCAGCUCGUGUCGUGAGAUGUUGGGUUAAGUCCCGCAACGAGCGCAACCCACGUCUUUAGUUGCCAGCAUUUAGUUGGGCACUCUAGAGAGACCGCCGGUGAUAAACCGGAGGAAGGUGUGGAUGACGUCAAGUCAUCAUGCCCCUUACAUCCUGGGCUACACACGUACUACAAUGCUACGGACAAAGGGCAGCAAACUCGCGAGAGCUAGCCAAUCCCAUAAACCGUGGCUCAGUUCAGAUCGUAGGCUGCAACUCGCCUACGUGAAGGAGGAAUCGCUAGUAAUCGCAGGUCAGCAUACUGCGGUGAAUACGUUCCCGGGCCUUGUACACACCGCCCGUCACACCAUGGAAGUUGGCCACGCCCGAAGUCGUUACUCCAACCCUUGUGGAGGAGGAUGCCGAAGGUGGGGCUGAUGACUGGGGUGAAGUCGUAACAAGGUAGCCGUACCGGAAGGUGCGGCUGGAUCACCUCCU
RNAcentral lists this ribosomal RNA (1397 nucleotides) under Synechococcus sp. MA0607A. RNAcentral describes it as "16S ribosomal RNA". It matches the Rfam family "Bacterial small subunit ribosomal RNA". Lineage: Bacteria; Bacillati; Cyanobacteriota; Cyanophyceae; Synechococcales; Synechococcaceae. The record is from RNAcentral.